RNAcentral lists this ribosomal RNA (253 nucleotides) under uncultured bacterium. Its description in RNAcentral is "partial 16S ribosomal RNA". It matches the Rfam family "Bacterial small subunit ribosomal RNA", at positions 524 to 776 of the family's 1533-position model. The record is from RNAcentral.
UACAGAGGGGGCAAGCGUUGUUCGGAAUUACUGGGCGUAAAGGGCGCGUAGGCGGCCUUCUAAGUCGAACGUGAAAUCCCCGGGCUCAACCCGGGAACUGCGUCCGAGACUGGGAGGCUAGAAUCCGGGAGAGGGAUGUGGAAUUCCAGGUGUAGCGGUGAAAUGCGUAGAUAUCUGGAGGAACAUCGGUGGCGAAGGCGGCAUCCUGGACCGGUAUUGACGCUGAGGCGCGAAAGCCAGGGGAGCAAACGGG